CGGCUGUCCAGAUGUGGUCCACAGGUCAUACUUUGCCAACCUGUGGUCUAAAAAAUGGUAUUUGUAUGGGCUUAAACCAUCACGAAAACAUUCUGAAAUCUUAAAAACAAAGCAAAACCUAUAACCCAUUUAUGUUCCUUGUAAUCUAAAUGCAUUCAUCUUUCCAUGCCCAGAUGAACUGAUUUCUUGAGGCUUUCUCUCUCUCUCUCUCUGUUUUUUUUUACAGGUGACAGCUUAGUGCAUCGCAUAAACCUGAAUUUGCCAUUUUCCCAACCUGAAAGCAAGGGUGGCCAGGCCACCCAGGGCAAUGGUGAAUGGUGGGUGAGAGGCAGAGCCCCUCUCCAAUAAACAACCUGGACUGUUUAUUGGGUUUUUGACCAACAAGACCUCAGGGAAAUUCCGGGAGCCUGAGGUUGGCAGAGACACAUAGAGGGGUGUGCCCUGUUGUCACUGACCAAUGGCAGAUGUGCCCUUACUCUGAACGCCAUCAAGAACACCUCUGUAAUAAUUUUCCUGUCCUCAUUAAGUUUGAGUUUGCAAGGAGACUCUUGUAAGCCAAGUUAAAUACUCUGAGGCUUUAUGUCUGAGAUUCAGGUAGCUGCCACCCUGAGAGGGGAAAUGCCUGGCAUUAGAGCUUCUCCCACAGAACAAGGUGGGGGUGUGGAUUUUCUUCCAGAGAAAUCACCAUAACUCAGCCAAUAUUGUAAUUAAAAUAAUAUAGUCUAUAAAGAAAACGGAUAAAGCAACUUGAACACGCUUCCCAGCACACUGAGCUGCCACCACGAAGCUUCAGUUUCUCUGCCACCUGACACCAUGGUGAUCGCUCCCCACUUCCAGUGGAAAUGUGUCAAGGAAGCUGCUAAUGGCCAUGAAAUUCUUCAUGCUCUGGGAUUUUUGUUUUCCUGAAACCUUUGACACAGAGCUUUCAUUGAGAAGAGGAAAUGAAGAAAGAAGCAUGGUUCCAAGUACCAUGAAUAGCCCCACCCGAGGGGAGCAGUUUGUGUAUGCAGAAAGCGCCCUGGGGGACUUGUUUUGCAGCCAAAAGAAUCAAGACAUCUUCAAGAUAACGUGACGUAGCUGAAAGUGUUGGGAUGGCAGUAAGCAGAAAGACGUUUGAGAACAGUUUUGUUUCUUCUAUCUUCUGCAAAUUAGGUACAAUGAUAAUACAUGCCUGGGAGGUGGUAGUGUCGACUGAGCAAGGGGGUAUGUGGAGAGCACCCAGCACAUUGUAGGUUCUCAGCAAUGUUAAU
Molecule: long non-coding RNA, 1250 nt
Filed under: Papio anubis (olive baboon)
Lineage: Eukaryota; Metazoa; Chordata; Mammalia; Primates; Cercopithecidae
Description: lncRNA (ENSPANG00000040177.1)
Source: RNAcentral